UUCCUACGGGGCGCAGCAGUGGGGAAUAUUGGGCAAUGGGCGCAAGCCUGACCCAGCAACGCCGCGUGAAGGAAGAAGGCUUUCGGGUUGUAAACUUCUUUUGGCAGGGAAGAGCAGAAGACGGUACCUGUCGAAUAAGCCACGGCUAACUACGUGCCAGCAGCCGCGGUAAUACGUAGGGAGCAAGCGUUAUCCGGAUUUAUUGGGUGUAAAGGGUGCGUAGACGGAGAAGCAAGUUAGUUGUGAAAUCCCUCGGCUUAACUGAGGAACUGCAACUAAAACUACUUCCAUUGAGUACUGGAGAG
Molecule: ribosomal RNA, 305 nt
Filed under: uncultured bacterium
Lineage: Bacteria
Description: bacterial SSU rRNA
Rfam family: Bacterial small subunit ribosomal RNA
Source: RNAcentral